UACGUGGGUCCCGAGCGUUGUCCGGAUUUAUUGGGCGUAAAGCGGGCGCAGGUGGUUUAUUAAGUCUGGUGUAAAAGGCAGUGGCUCAACCAUUGUAUGCAUUGGAAACUGGUAGACUUGAGUGCAGGAGAGGAGAGUGGAAUUCCAUGUGUAGCGGUGAAAUGCGUAGGUAUAUGGAGGAACACCGGUGGCGAAAGCGGCUCUCUGGCCUGUAACUGACACUGAGGCUCGAAAGCGUGGGGAGCAAACAGG
This 252-nucleotide ribosomal RNA is filed under the name uncultured bacterium. Its description in RNAcentral is "partial 16S ribosomal RNA". It matches the Rfam family "Bacterial small subunit ribosomal RNA", at positions 524 to 776 of the family's 1533-position model. The record is from RNAcentral.